UACAGAGGGUGCAAGCGUUGUUCGGAAUUAUUGGGCGUAAAGCGCGUGUAGGCGGCUUUGCAAGUCGGGUGUGAAAGCCCUCGGCUCAACCGAGGAAGUGCGCCCGAAACUGCAGAGCUUGAGUACCGGAGAGGAUGGCGGAAUUCCCCAAGUAGAGGUGAAAUUCGUAGAUAUGGGGAGGAACACCGGUGGCGAAGGCGGCCAUCUGGACGGAUACUGACGCUGAUGCACGAAAGCUAGGGGAGCAAACAGG
Molecule: ribosomal RNA, 253 nt
Filed under: uncultured bacterium
Lineage: Bacteria
Description: partial 16S ribosomal RNA
Rfam family: Bacterial small subunit ribosomal RNA
Source: RNAcentral